Molecule: ribosomal RNA, 292 nt
Filed under: Pseudomonas aeruginosa
Lineage: Bacteria; Pseudomonadati; Pseudomonadota; Gammaproteobacteria; Pseudomonadales; Pseudomonadaceae
Description: partial 16S ribosomal RNA
Rfam family: Bacterial small subunit ribosomal RNA
Source: RNAcentral
AACACAUGCAAGUCGAGCGGAUGAAGGGAGCUUGCUCCUGGAUUCAGCGGCGGACGGGUGAGUAAUGCCUAGGAAUCUGCCUGGUAGUGGGGGAUAACGUCCGGAAACGGGCGCUAAUACCGCAUACGUCCUGAGGGAGAAAGUGGGGGAUCUUCGGACCUCACGCUAUCAGAUGAGCCUAGGUCGGAUUAGCUAGUUGGUGGGGUAAAGGCCUACCAAGGCGACGAUCCGUAACUGGUCUGAGAGGAUGAUCAGUCACACUGGAACUGAGACACGGUCCAGACUCCUACGG